GAGGCUAGAUAAGCAUUACCUGGAUUAAAUAAAAAAAAUGUAAAAUGUCAAAAAGGGUUUUAAAAAACACGCACUCAGUAACUUGGAACCAAAGACAUGAGACAGACCCCGGAUUUAAUUGGGAAGGAGGCAAAUCUGCAGGCAGACAUCUAAAGCCUUGGGUGAAUUUCUCUAUUGGAAAUUGUACUAAGAAAACAAAACAUUCUACAGGGCAAACAAAUGAGUCUCCCCUCAACAGGCAGCUGUAGGCAACAGCCAAUCACUGUGGUAUUGAAACAACAGAGGCAAAAUUAUUAUGCAAGUGGUGGGGGUUUUGUAGUUGUUUCUUUCCUCCUGGUCUUGGCUAAAGAAAUCGUGCUGGUUUUAAGAUUGGCAUUUGCUGGGUUGCUUAUGCUUUCAUCUCUGCACGAAGUGUUCUUCAGAAGCGCCCAUGGCAAAAUAAUUCAAGCUUGAUGAAAUCCAGAGCAGAGUCGCUGAGAAUCAAAGCCUCUAGCAUCACCAUUUGGGCCAAGUUAGCCAGGGGGCGCGGGGGCUGGCGUGGGCUCCAGUGUCCCAGAGGGCGCUGGCCGCAGUGAACCACAGAAGGUGCCUUGGAGAGAUCCCUGAUGUGGCACUGGUGAGAACUUUGCAGAUGGGGUGAGAAGAUUAAGGGAAAACGCCCUGGGGAGGCAGAGAGGAGGGCCUGAACAAAGAGGAGAUAAAACACCAAGGGAUACAUUUAGGGUUGGAGAGAUGGCUCGGUGGUUAAUAAGAGCAUUGACUGCUCUUCCAGAGGUCCUGAGUUCAAAUCCCCGCAACCACAUGGUGGUUCACAACCAUCUGUAAUGGGAUCUGAUGCCCUCUUCUGGUGUGUCUAAAGACAGCUACAGUGAACUCAUUAAAUAAAUAAAUAAAUCUUUAAAAAUUAAAAAAAAAAAAA
Rattus norvegicus (Norway rat) is the source of this 919-nucleotide long non-coding RNA. RefSeq lists it as uncharacterized. The record is from RefSeq and is a predicted model, not a curated record. Lineage: Eukaryota; Metazoa; Chordata; Mammalia; Rodentia; Muridae.